RNAcentral lists this ribosomal RNA (429 nucleotides) under Acidobacteriota bacterium. RNAcentral describes it as "Acidobacteria bacterium partial 16S ribosomal RNA". It matches the Rfam family "Bacterial small subunit ribosomal RNA", at positions 355 to 776 of the family's 1533-position model. The record is from RNAcentral. Lineage: Bacteria; Pseudomonadati; Acidobacteriota.
UGGGGAAUUUUGGACAAUGGGGGAAACCCUGAUCCAGCCAUCCAGCGUGUGCGUUGAAGGCCUUCGGGUUGUAAAGCACUUCUGGCAGGAAAGAAACGCCAUGGGUUAAUACCCCGUGAAACUGACGGUACCUGCAGAAUAUGCACCGACUAACUACUUGCCAGCAGCCGCGGUAAUACGUAGGGUGCAAGCGUUAAUCGGAAUUACUUGGCGUAAAGCGUGCGCAGGCGGUUCGGAAAGAAAGAUGUGAAAUCCCAGAGCUUAACUUUGGAACUGCAUUUUUAACUACCGGGCUAGAGUGUGUCAUAGGGAUGUGGAAUUCCGCGUGUAGCAGUGAAAUGCGUAGAUAUGCGGCGGAACACCGGUGGCGAAGGCAGCCUCCUGGGAUAACACUGACGCUCAUGCACGAAAGCGUGGGGAGCAAACAGG